GCGUGGGUGAUGAAGCUCUGAGGAGCGUAAAGCCCUGUUAGGAGGGAAGAAUAUCCGCUUUUGGCGGACUGACGGUACCUCCAGAGAAAGCUCCGGCUAACUCCGUGCCAGCAGCCGCGGUAAUACGGGGGGAGCAAGCGUUGUCCGGAUUUACUGGGCGUAAAGGGAGUGCAGGCGGGGUGGUAAGUCAGUGGUGAAAACUUGCGGCUUAACCGUAAGCGUGCUUCUGAUACUGCCACUCUUGAGUGCGGAAGGGGGAAGCGGAAUUCCUGGUGUAGCGGUGAAAUGCGU
Molecule: ribosomal RNA, 291 nt
Filed under: uncultured bacterium
Lineage: Bacteria
Description: partial 16S ribosomal RNA
Rfam family: Bacterial small subunit ribosomal RNA
Source: RNAcentral